UUGUUCGCAAUGGGCGCAAGCCUGACGGCGCAACGCCGCGUGGAGGAUGAAGACCUUCGGGUCGUAAACUCCUUUCGACCGAGAUGAAUUCCUGCCGGCCUAACAUGCCGGCAGGUUGACAGUAUCGAGGGAAGCAGCCCCGGCUAACUCCGUGCCAGCAGCCGCGGUAAUACGGGGGGGGCAAGCGUUGUUCGGAAUUACUGGGCGUAAAAGGGUCUGUAGGUGGCCAACUAAGUCAGACGUGAAAUCCCUCAGCUUAACUGGGAACUGCGUCUAGACUGGAUGGCUUAGUGCAGGGAGAAUGCGAAUUCCAGGUGAGCGGUAAAUGCGAGUUCUGGGGAACACCGGUGGCGAGGCGGAUUCUGGCUGAACUGACUGAGAGCGUCGCGGACUU
RNAcentral lists this ribosomal RNA (394 nucleotides) under uncultured bacterium. RNAcentral describes it as "bacterial SSU rRNA". It matches the Rfam family "Bacterial small subunit ribosomal RNA", at positions 362 to 762 of the family's 1533-position model. The record is from RNAcentral.